UACGGAGGGUGCGAGCGUUGUCCGGAAUCACUGGGCGUAAAGGGCGCGUAGGCGGCCUGGUAAGUAGGGGGUGAAAUCCUGCGGCUUAACCGCAGGGCUGCCUUCUAAACUGUCAGGCUCGAGCACGGUAGAGGCAGAUGGAAUUCCCGGUGUAGCGGUGGAAUGCGUAGAGAUCGGGAAGAACAUCAGUGGCGAAGGCGGUCUGCUGGGCCGUUGCUGACGCUGAGACGCGACAGCGUGGGGAGCAAACAGG
This 253-nucleotide ribosomal RNA is filed under the name uncultured bacterium. Its description in RNAcentral is "partial 16S ribosomal RNA". It matches the Rfam family "Bacterial small subunit ribosomal RNA", at positions 524 to 776 of the family's 1533-position model. The record is from RNAcentral.